This 454-nucleotide ribosomal RNA is filed under the name uncultured bacterium. RNAcentral describes it as "bacterial SSU rRNA". It matches the Rfam family "Bacterial small subunit ribosomal RNA", at positions 340 to 786 of the family's 1533-position model. The record is from RNAcentral.
UACGAAGGCAGCAGUGGGGAAUAUUGCACAAUGGGCGAAAGCCUGAUGCAGCUAUGCCGCGUGUAUGAAGAAGGCCUUAGGGUUGUAAAGUACUUUCAUCGGGGAGGAAAAAACAAAACUAAUAAUUUUAUUUCUUGACGUUACCCGAAAAAGAAGCACCGGCUAACUCCGUGCCAGCAGCCGCGGUAAUACGGAGGGUGCUAGCGUUAAUCAGAAUUACUGGGCGUAAAGAGCACGUAGGUGGUUUUUUUAAGUCAGAUGUGAAUCCCUGGGCUUAACCUAGGAACUGCAUUUUGAAACUGAAAUACUAGAGUAUCGUAGAGGGAGGUAGAAUUCUAGGUGUAGCGGUGAAAUGCGUAGAUAUCUGGAGGAAUACCUGUGGCGAAAGCGGCCUCCUAAACGAAUACUGACACUGAGGUGCGAAAGCGUGGGGAGCAAACAGGGAUUAGAUACC